Molecule: long non-coding RNA, 2006 nt
Organism: Oncorhynchus tshawytscha (Chinook salmon)
Lineage: Eukaryota; Metazoa; Chordata; Actinopteri; Salmoniformes; Salmonidae
Source: Ensembl
CAGGUGGUGCUAGGUGGUGCUAUGAAGUGUUAGGUGGUGCUAUGAAGUGUUAGGUGGUGCUAGGUGGUGCUAUGAAGUGUCAGGUGGUGCUAGGUGGUGCUAUGAAGUGUUAGGUGGUGCUAGGUGGUGCUAUGAAGUGUUAGGUGGUGCUAUGAAGUGCUAGGUGGUGCUAGGUGGUGCUAUGAAGUGCUAGGUGGUGCUAUGAAGUGCUAGGUGGUGCUAUGAAGUGUUAGGUGGUGCUAGGUGGUGUUAGGUGGUGCUAUGAAGUGUUAGGUGGUGCUAGGUGGUGCUAUGAAGUGUUAGGUGGUGCUAUGAAGUGUUAGGUGGUGCUAUGAAGUGUUAGGUGGUGCUAUGAAGUGUUAGUUGGUGCUAGGUGAUGCUAUGAAGUGUUAGGUGGUGCUAUGAAGUGUUAGGUGGUGCUAUGAAGUGUUAGGUGGUGCUAGGUGGUGCUAUGAAGUGUUAGGUGGUGCUAUGAAGUGUUAGGUGGUGCUAUGAAGUGUUAGGUGGUGCUAUGAAGUGUUAGUUGGUGCUAGGUGAUGCUAUGAAGUGUUAGGUGGUGCUAUGAAGUGGUAGGUGGUGCUAUGAAGUGUUAGUUGGUGCUAGGUGGUGCUAUGAAGUGCUAGGUGGUGCUAUGAAGUGUUAGGUGGUGCUAGGUGGUGCUAUGAAGUGGUAGGUGGUGCUAGUUGGCGCUAUGAAGUGUUAGGUGGUGCUAUGAAGUGUUAGGUGGUGCUAGGUGGUGCUAUGAAGUGGUAGGUGGUGCUAUGAAGUGUUAGGUGGUGCUAGGUGGUGCUAUGAAGUGUUAGGUGGUGCUAGGUGGUGCUAGGUGGUGCUAUGAAGUGGUAGGUGGUGUUAGGUGGUGCUAGGUGGUGCUAUGAAGUGGUAGCUGGUGUUAGGUGGUGCUAGGUGUUGCUCGGUGGUGCGCUAUGAAGUGUUAGGUGGUGUUAGGUUGUGUGAGGUGGUGCUAAGUGAUGCUAUGAAGUGGUAGGUGGUGCUAGGUGGUGCUAUGAAGUGCUAGGUGGUGCUAUGAAGUGUUAGGUGGUGCUAGGUGGUGCUAUGAAGUGCUAGGUGGUGCUAUGAAGUGUUAGGUGGUGCUAGGGGGUGUUAGGUGGUGCUAUGAAGUGUUAGGUGGUGCUAUGAAGUGCUAGGGUGUGCUAUGAAGUGUUAGGUGGUGCUUGGUGGUGUUAGGUGGUGCUAUGAAGUGUUAGGUGGUGCUAUGAAGUGUUAGGUGGUGCUAUGAAGUGUUAGGUGGUGCUAUGAAGUGUUAGGUGGUGCUAGGUGGUGCUAUGACGUGUUAGGUGGUGCUAUGAAGUGUUAGGUGGUGCUAUGAAGUGUUAGGUGGUGUUAGGUGGUGCUAUGAAGUGGUAGGUGGUGCUAGGUGGUGCUAGGUGGUGUUAGGUGGUGCUAUGAAGUGUUAGGUGGUGCUAGGUGGUGCUAUGAAGUGUUAGGUGGUGCUAUGAAGUGCUAGGUGGAGUUAGGUGGUGCUAUGAAGUGCUAGGUGGUGCUAGGUGGCACUAUGAAGUGUUCGGUGGUGCUAGGUGGUGCUAUGAAGUGCUAGGUGGUGCUAGGUGGUGCUAUGAAGUGUUAGGUGGUGUUAGGUAGUGUUAGGUGGUGCUAGGUGGUGCUAUGAAGUGCUAGGUGGUGCCAGGUGGUGCUAGGUGGUGCUAUGAAGUGUUAGGUGGUGUUAGGUAGUGUUAGGUGGUGCUAUGAAGUGCUAGGUGGUGUUAGGUAGUGUUAGGUGGUGCUAGGUGGUGCUAUGAAGUGCUAGGUGGUGCUAUGAAAUGCUAAGUGGUGCUAGGUGGUGCAAUGAAGUGUUAGGUGGUGUUAGGUAGUGUUAGGUGGUGCUAGGUGGUGCUAUGAAGUGCUAGGUGGUGCUAGGUGGUGCUAGGUGGUGCUAUGAAGUGUUAGGUGGUGUUAGGUAGUGUUAGGUGGUGCUAGAUGGUGCUAUGAAGUGCUAGGUGGUGCUAUGAAGUUUUAGGUGGUGUUAGGUAGUGUUAGGUGGUGCUAUG